UGCAUCGAAGCGGCUUCCUUCACUUUCAAUCAGUUGUUGUUCCACGAGAUAAACGUUGGACAGCAAGACAUGGGUCCUGUGUUGCAUACUUAUUGGGAGGAAAAUGGGUGCCUUCGAUCGUCCCUUCCAUCACGGCGUCCUCACGGAUGCUCGGUUGGACCGGAUAGUGGGGCUCGUGUUCCACGAACGUCGUCUCAUUCGACCGUUCGGAUGGACCACGGGUGCCCACUCGUUCUCUCGGAUGCUGAAAUCUCUUGAUGGGCAUGGGGUCAUUGGCCCUUUGGUCCCUAAUCGUUAAGCGUUUAUCGCUUCACCGGAAUGACGAUCUCGCCUUGUCCUUGACCACGCGAAGCCCUCGGGCAUCGCGACGGAUCAUGCUCGGCGGACGUCGUGAAGGAAUGC
This 402-nucleotide unclassified non-coding RNA is filed under the name Eucalyptus sieberi. Its description in RNAcentral is "partial external transcribed spacer". Lineage: Eukaryota; Viridiplantae; Streptophyta; Magnoliopsida; Myrtales; Myrtaceae. The record is from RNAcentral.